Clupea harengus (Atlantic herring) is the source of this 1241-nucleotide long non-coding RNA. Lineage: Eukaryota; Metazoa; Chordata; Actinopteri; Clupeiformes; Clupeidae. The record is from Ensembl.
AGCUUAAACUCUGAAACUCGUCAUCUCUGUCCCAUUUCGGGGUAUUUUCUGGUCUGCAGAGCGUGCCUGUCCCUUAUAGAGUCACAAAGAGUCCCAGUGAUGUGGAGAAGUGGCAGUCUUCCUCUGGCUUUGAAGUUGGUGAUAAAUGUUUAAUAUGCGGCAGAACAGAGUGAAUUGUGGGAAUAUUCCCUGAGGAGUCUUCACAAAGCGGUGUCAUUUUUCUUGAUGACAAGCACGACAGCGCCAUUUGCUUAUCUCCAGCCGAGGAGCUCCUCCUGACGAACCAGCUCCACUACGAGAGGAGAGGAGAUGAGAGGAGAGAGGAGAGCCUUCAAGAGAUUCCUCCUGUCCUCCUUCCUCCUCUCCUCCCUCCUCUUCUCCUGUACUGCCUCUUUCCUCCAUCUCUUUCCCCUCUGCCUGUUUCCUCCUUUCCUCCAUCUCUUUCCCCUUUGCCUCUUUCUUUUCCUCCACCUCUUUCCCCUCUGCCUGCUUCCUCCUCCUCUCCUCCACCUCUUUCCUCUCCUCCUCUCCUCCAUCUCAAUCCCCUCUGCCUGCUUCCUCCUCCUCUGCCGUCUCUGUCUGUGAAUCUCCUACAUGUCACAGUUCCUCCUUUGUCAUGGUUUUAAAUUGACAUUUAUACACAUUUUUCUGCUGGCUGUUGGCAGCUAUAUUUAAUUUCCCAGCUUCUGACUUUAACUUGUCUAGCCAAAUCUAAACACCGUGGUACUGCCCUGACUCUCAGAGUGAGUGUGUGUGUGUGUGUGUGUGUGUGCCCUGACUCUCAGAGUGUGUGUGUGUGUGUGUGUGUGUGUGUGUGUGUGUGUGUGUGUGUGUGUGUGUGUGUGUGUGUGUGUGUGUGUGUGUGUUGGCCCUGACUCUCAGAGUGAGUGAGUGAGUGAGCCCUGACUCUAAGACUGUGUGUGUGUGCCCUGACUCUAAGACUGUGUGUGUGUGCCCUGACUCUCAGAGUGAUGAGUGUGUGUGUGUGUGCCCUGACUCUCAGAGUGUGUGUGUGUGAGUGCCUUUUCCCCUCAUAUGCUUGCUGUCAGCAUUGUACAACUGAAGUCCUGUUCAUCUGAACCAGUACCUCUCCAUAUUCCCAUGCAAUUAAUAAGUGAUAAAAGUAAUAAAAGCAUGUUUGUCGCCAUAUCGGUGAUGUCACACUGGACAAAUGACACGCCUCUCUUAAGCCAGGGUUGAUUGACUUGUUUUGUUUCCUGGCUGAAGCGCCGACCUCAAGG